AUGCUAGAUCCGCCUGGCUCCCUGUAUGCCAACUGCGAGCCUUGCUAAAUAUUUGUUUGCCUUGAUUCAUAGCUGGCGUUCAGGGAGUCAAGCAGACCUUGCG
Molecule: microRNA precursor, 103 nt
Filed under: Physcomitrium patens
Lineage: Eukaryota; Viridiplantae; Streptophyta; Bryopsida; Funariales; Funariaceae
Description: Physcomitrella patens miR160b stem-loop (ppt-MIR160b)
Gene: ppt-MIR160b
Rfam family: mir-160 microRNA precursor family (bases 8-97)
About the family: The hairpin precursors (represented here) are predicted based on base pairing and cross-species conservation -- their extents are not known.
Source: miRBase by way of RNAcentral